CGGAGUGUAGCUCAGCCUGGUAGAGCACUGCGUUCGGGACGCAGGGGUCGCAAGUUCGAAUCCUGUCACUCCGA
Molecule: transfer RNA, 74 nt
Filed under: Dechloromonas sp. HYN0024
Lineage: Bacteria; Pseudomonadati; Pseudomonadota; Betaproteobacteria; Rhodocyclales; Azonexaceae
Also listed under: 1 other name
Rfam family: tRNA
About the family: Transfer RNA (tRNA) molecules are approximately 80 nucleotides in length. Their secondary structure includes four short double-helical elements and three loops (D, anti-codon, and T loops). Further hydrogen bonds mediate the characteristic L-shaped molecular structure. tRNAs have two regions of fundamental functional importance: the anti-codon, which is responsible for specific mRNA codon recognition, and the 3' end, to which the tRNAs corresponding amino acid is attached (by aminoacyl-tRNA synthetases). tRNAs cope with the degeneracy of the genetic code in two manners: having more than one tRNA (with a specific anti-codon) for a particular amino acid; and 'wobble' base-pairing, i.e. permitting non-standard base-pairing at the 3rd anti-codon position.
Source: Rfam by way of RNAcentral